UACGGAGGGUGCGAGCGUUGUCCGGAAUCAUUGGGCGUAAAGGGCGCGUAGGUGGCCCGGUCAGCGUGCGGUGAAAGCUCGGGGCUCAACCCCGAGUCGGCCGUGCGAACUGCUGGGCUUGAGCACUGUAGAGGCAGGCGGAAUUCCGGGUGUAGCGGUGGAAUGCGUAGAGAUCCGGAAGAACACCACUGGCGAAGGCAAGGUCCUGGCUCGUAUCUGACGCUGAGGUGCGAAAGCUAGGGGAGCGAACGGG
RNAcentral lists this ribosomal RNA (253 nucleotides) under uncultured bacterium. RNAcentral describes it as "partial 16S ribosomal RNA". It matches the Rfam family "Bacterial small subunit ribosomal RNA", at positions 524 to 776 of the family's 1533-position model. The record is from RNAcentral.